RNAcentral lists this ribosomal RNA (265 nucleotides) under uncultured bacterium. Its description in RNAcentral is "partial 16S ribosomal RNA". It matches the Rfam family "Bacterial small subunit ribosomal RNA", at positions 57 to 305 of the family's 1533-position model. The record is from RNAcentral.
GCAAGUCGAACGAGAAAGUUCCUUUCGGGGGGCGAGUACAGUGGCGCACGGGUGAGUAACACGUGGAUGAUCUGCCCUGAAAUGGGGGAUAACAGUUAGAAAUAGCUGCUAAUACCGCAUAAGCUGAGCAAUUUUGGAAGUAGCUCAGGAAAGAUGGCCUCUACUUGUAAGCUAUCGUUUUAGGAAGAGUCUGCGUACCAUUAGUUUGUUGGUGGGGUAAUGGCCUACCAAGACUUCGAUGGUUAGCCGGUCUGAGAGGAUGAUC